Molecule: ribosomal RNA, 497 nt
Filed under: Aleochara littoralis
Lineage: Eukaryota; Metazoa; Arthropoda; Insecta; Coleoptera; Staphylinidae
Description: partial 16S ribosomal RNA
Rfam family: Bacterial large subunit ribosomal RNA
Source: RNAcentral
UAAUUUAAAGUCUGACCUGCCCAAUGAUAAUUUUAAUGGCCGCAGUAUUUUGACUGUGCAAAGGUAGCAUAAUCAUUAGUUUCUUAAUUAGAAACUAGAAUGAAAGGUUGAACGAGAAAAUAACUGUCUCUUUAUAAUUUUUUUAGAAUUUUAUUUUUAAGUUAAAAAGCUUAAAUAAAUUUGAAAGACGAGAAGACCCUAUAGAGUUUAAUAUUUUAUUAAUUAAAUUUUAAAAAUAGAAUUAUAUUUAUUUUAUUAAAAAAAGUAUUUAAUUGGGGUGAUUGAAAAAUUUAAUUAACUUUUUUUUUAUUUUAACAUUUGUAUAUGAUAAAUUGAUCCAUUAUUAAUGAUUAUAAGAUUAAAUUACCUUAGGGAUAACAGCGUAAUUUUUUUUAAGAGUUCCUAUCGAUAAAAAAGUUUGCGACCUCGAUGUUGGAUUAAAAUUAAUUUUUGGUGUAGAAGCUAAAAUAUUAGGUCUGUUCGACCUUUAAAAUUUU